Cucurbita maxima (winter squash) is the source of this 2910-nucleotide RNA transcript. It is a transcript of the gene named THO complex subunit 5B, with no coding region annotated. The record is from RefSeq and is a predicted model, not a curated record. NCBI's taxonomy places the organism in Eukaryota, Viridiplantae, Streptophyta, Magnoliopsida, Cucurbitales, Cucurbitaceae. The transcript is spliced from 9 exons.
CGCCCGACGUUCGGCCGAUCGUCGCGUUAGCCGAUUCGCUAAUAGGUCGAUAACCUCGCCGUUUUCUCACUGUGCUGCUUCAAUUCGGCUUCAGCCCCCAGCGGAGCGCGGACCGGAGCAUAGCGGGCGACUGGAUCAGGCGGGCAGUAAUCUGCGGAGAUGGACGAGGAGAUAGAGGAGGGAAUGCUCAUAGAAGACGAGACCGAGCCCCCGCCGCAGGAGAGCGAAACGGGCAAAAUAUCGCCUUACGAAAUGCUGCGAGAGAGCAAGAGUUCUGUGGAGGAGAUCGUAACCAAGAUGCUCUCCAUCAAGAAGCAUGGCGAGCCAAAAACUCAGCUCAGAGAACUCGUAACGCAGAUGUUCCUUCACUUCGUAACCCUUCGCCAGGCGAACCGCUCUAUUUUGCUGGAAGAGGACCGGGUGAAAGCUGAAACAGAGCGAGCAAAAGCUCCAGUAGACUUCACCACGCUGCAACUUAACAACUUGAUGUAUGAAAAGAGUCACUAUGUUAAAGCAAUAAAGGCCUGUAAAGACUUCAAAUCAAAGUAUCCUGAUAUCGAACUCGUGUCUGAGGAUGAGUUUUUCCGGGAUGCACCGGAGGAUAUCAAGAACUCCAUAAGGUCAAAAGACAGCGCGCACAAUCUGAUGCUGCAGAGGCUUGACUAUGAGCUCUUCCAGCGCAAAGAACUAUGCAAACGGCGAGAUGAACUUGAACAGCAUAAGAAAAGCCUUCUAGAAGUCAUUGCUAAUAGAAAGAAAUUCUUAUCAAGUCUUCCCUCACACCUCAAGUCCUUGAAAAAGGCAUCCUUGCCCGUACAGAAUCAGUUGGGGAUGUUGCAGACAAAGAAAUUAAAGCAACACCAGCUAGCUGAGUUACUUCCACCUCCUCUUUAUGUAAUCUACUCACAGUUCUUGGCACAAAAGGAAGCAUUUGGUGAAAAUAUUGAAUUGGAGAUAGUAGGAAGUGUCAAAGAUGCCCAAGCUUUUGCACGCCAUCAAGCAAAUAAGGAUGCUGGUGCAUCAACCAAUGUUGAGAGCUCCAAGUUGGAGGAUGAUGCCCCUGAUGAAGAUGACGAUGGCCAAAGGAGGAGAAAACGGCCAAAGAAGAUUCCGGCAAAGGUGAACAUUGAACAUGCAGGGAUAUAUCAAGUUCAUCCACUAAAGAUAAUCCUUCACAUUUAUGACAAUGAAACUUGCGAACCCAAGUCGAUGAAAUUGCUUUCUCUGAAGUUUGAAUGCUUGUCAAAGUUGAACAUUAUUUGUGUUGGGAUUGAAGGAUCUCAUGAAGGACCUGAGAAUAACAUCUUAUGCAACUUGUUCCCGGAUGACACUGGCCUUGAGCUGCCUCAUCAGUCAGCCAAACUUGUUGUUCGCGAAACUCUUUCAUUUAGUGAUAAGAGAACCUCUCGACCUUAUAAGUGGGCCCAACAUUUGGCUGGAAUUGAUUUUUUGCCAGAAUUGCCGCCAUUGGUGAGUGCACAAGAAUCUGCCAGUGGUGAAACUGUUAGAAGUGAUAUUGUAUCAGGCCUCUCAAUGUAUCGUCAGCAAAACCGCAUACAGACAGUUGUGCAAAGAUUGCGCUCUCGGAAAAAGGCUCAGCUGGCUCUUGUGGAACAGCUUGAUUCACUUGAAAAACUCAAAUGGCCAGUUCUGACAUGUGAUAAUGUCCCAUGGGCUUCACAUAAACCUUCAUGCUCUUUGCAAGGUUGGUCACUUGUAGGCUAUGCUACAAGUCAGGAAUCAUCUUUGAAUAUAAUGGAGAAAGAGAAAGUUCGGGAUCCUUUAGAUGUUGAUAUGCUUGGAAAAUCUGGCAUUUCAAGAGAAGAUAUUGACGGUGCUAGGGAAGAUGGGGAACUUCCUGCUCUAGUUUCAUCGACAUCUAUCUUAGAUAAUGCUCAACCUACUCCCUUAAGAACACCCAAUCUUGAGCAUUCUAAACAGCUAACUCUAAUUUCCAAAAGCAUUACACCUCAAACCAAUUACUCUAGGAUGCUAAGUUUCAGUAAACAUGACGAAGAUUAUGAGUUGAUGCUAGAUGUUGAUAGCGACCAGGAUGAGCCAAUGCAGACUGAGCUUGCAGCAGAUGACGUAGCUUCUAUUCCUUCCAACGACAUAACAAGAAAGACAUGGAUGGAUUAUGGGUCCAAGGAAUAUUGCCUUGUCAUGACCAGGAACACUGAUUCACCAGCCAAAAAUCUUAAGUUGCAAGCCAAGAUUAAAAUCAGCAUGGAGUAUCCUCUUAGGCCUCCUUUCUUUACUUUGAAUCUUUACACGAUCAAUUCUGAAGAAAACCGUGAUGAGAGUGAUGACUCUGAUUGGUAUAAUGAACUUCGGGCCAUGGAAGCUGAGGUGAAUCUUCAUAUACUUAAUAUGCUGCCUUUGGAUCAGGAGAACUAUAUAUUGUCUCAUCAAAUUUGUUGUCUUGAAAUGUUGUUCAACUACUGCAUCAAUGAGGCGUCCCGAUCCUCUGAAAGGAAAAAGAGUAGUUUUGUGAUUGAUGUUGGAUUAUGCAAACCUGUUAGUGGUAGUAUACAUGCUAGGUCAUUUAGGGGAAGGGAUCGUAGGAAGAUGAUAUCCUGGAAAGACAUUGAAUGCGCUCCCGGCUAUCCUUGUUAAAAAAUUUUAGGAUCUUAAAAUUAUUAUUAUGUGCCUUCUGUUACUCUGCUGGUGGGGGAACAGUUUUGUGGGAACCUGACUGCCUGAAAAAGAUGAAGAACGAAAUUAUUGUUUCUUGGCCAGUUUCUUCAGUAUUGAAAAUUUGAAAUAUUGAUUCAUGUAAUGGCCAUGGGUGGUCACAAGUGUGCCCAAUCCUGCAGGCUUGCAAUUCCCUAAAUUUUAAUUGCAGCUCUGGAGGAUGUUAUUCAGAAGUUCGAAAAGUGGGGGGAAGCUUUCGGGCAGGCACCAAGGAAA